GACGAACGCUGGCGGCGUGCUUAACACAUGCAAGUCGAACGGAAAGGCCCUGCUUGCAGGGUACUCGAGUGGCGAACGGGUGAGUAACACGUGGGUGAUCUGCCCUGCACUUCGGGAUAAGCCUGGGAAACUGGGUCUAAAACCGGAUAGGAGCCAUUUUUAGUGUGAUGGUUGGAAAGUUUUUUCGGUGUAGGAUGAGCUCGCGGCCUAUCAGCUUGUUGGUGGGGUAAUGGCCUACCAAGGCGGCGACGGGUAGCCGGCCUGAGAGGGUGGACGGCCACAUUGGGACUGAGAUACGGCCCAGACUCCUACGGGAGGCAGCAGUGGGGAAUAUUGCACAAUGGGCGCAAGCCUGAUGCAGCGACGCCGCGUGGGGGAUGACGGCCUUCGGGUUGUAAACUCCUUUCGCUAGGGACGAAGCUUUUUGUGACGGUACCUAGAUAAGAAGCACCGGCUAACUACGUG
This 465-nucleotide ribosomal RNA is filed under the name uncultured bacterium. Its description in RNAcentral is "partial 16S ribosomal RNA". It matches the Rfam family "Bacterial small subunit ribosomal RNA", at positions 28 to 507 of the family's 1533-position model. The record is from RNAcentral.